Molecule: long non-coding RNA, 750 nt
Organism: Daphnia magna
Lineage: Eukaryota; Metazoa; Arthropoda; Branchiopoda; Diplostraca; Daphniidae
Exons: 2
Source: RefSeq, a predicted model, not a curated record
GUCGACAAGCAAAGACAACCGCUCCGUUGUCCAACUCUGGCACGAGCAGACUGAUCACUACGCCCACUUGAGUCUACCACUCUAGGACUAGGAAACCCCUUGACGACAAAGAAACGCCGAAGGCAGCCUCUCUCUCCCCCAAAGCUUGCCGGGGAUUGGGCACAAAACACAAUGAACUGAGUUGGUUUCACAUGCAUCAGCCUUUUUCGACGAUCGAGGAAUUUUCUUAUAUCACGGACAAAACUAGAGCCUUUUCAUGAGGUAAUCAGUCAAGGGAAGGAUCACCCCUUUUUCAAUACAAUCUAAUAUCCAAAUGCUAGCAACGCAAGGAACGUUAGCCUCCGGUUUCAACUGACCAACAAUGAGGGAGGCUUUUUUCGAGACACUUGUCAAGUUUCCGCCAGCACAUUGGAUCAUAUCGCACAGAUCUGGAGAGGGAAUUGGCGACUUUGAACUGACGAAAAUGGCUUCAUAGUCCCCAAAGAGGCACUUGUUUUUCCCACGGUACAGCGAAGCGGCAUUGGAGAAUCUCUCGAUUUGGUAGUCAUCUUCAUUUAAAAAUUUACCGCUGGCCAUCGAAUCAGUUAUCUAACAAAAAUCGAAGGAAUGUUCUUUCAGCGGUUGUUUCAUUGACAGAAUACAGAAACAUACCCAGUUAAAUGUCACGAUUUUGGCACCACGUACAACGCCACGCAUAACAUUUAAAGUUCUACGUGAAUCUCCGCAUAUUACAUGAGUGGUUGUAUCAUC